UACGUAGGCGGUCAGGUAAGUCAGGUGUGAAAUCCCGGAGCUCAACUCCGGAACUGCAUCCGAUACUGCUUGACUUGAGUAAUGGAGAGGCAGGUGGAAUUCUCGGUGUAGCAGUGAAAUGCGUAGAUAUCGAGAGGAAGACCAAUGGCGAAAGCAGCCUGCUGGACAUUUACUGACGCUGAGGUACGAAGGCUAGGGUAGCGAAAG
Molecule: ribosomal RNA, 207 nt
Filed under: uncultured bacterium
Lineage: Bacteria
Description: partial 16S ribosomal RNA
Rfam family: Bacterial small subunit ribosomal RNA
Source: RNAcentral